AAGUCGUAACAAGGUCUCUGUAGGUGAACCUGCGGAGGGAUCAUUACCAAAGAUGGCGUGCCUCCGGGCCCCGUCCCACCCACUUUGUUGACCAAAAACCUUUUGCCUCGGGGCAGAGCGUCCGCCGCCGCCCCGCAGGAUGCACCGAACCGACGCUGUCUCUUUACGUCAGAGUAUUGAUUAAAUGAAUCAAAA
RNAcentral lists this unclassified non-coding RNA (195 nucleotides) under plant metagenome. Its description in RNAcentral is "partial contains small subunit ribosomal RNA and internal transcribed spacer 1". The stretch from base 1 to 46 matches the Rfam family "Eukaryotic small subunit ribosomal RNA", at positions 1786 to 1831 of the family's 1831-position model. The record is from RNAcentral.